Molecule: ribosomal RNA, 253 nt
Filed under: uncultured bacterium
Lineage: Bacteria
Description: partial 16S ribosomal RNA
Rfam family: Bacterial small subunit ribosomal RNA
Source: RNAcentral
CACGUAGGGCGCGAGCGUUGUCCGGAAUUACUGGGCGUAAAGGGUGUGCAGGCGGGGAAGCAAGUGGUGUAUGAAAUAUCCCAGCUUAACUGGGAGGGGUUAUGCCAGACUGCUUUUCUAGAGGACGAGAGAGGGGGGUGGAAUUCCGGGUGUAGUGGUGAAAUGCGUAGAGAUCCGGAGGAACCCCAGAGGCGAAGGCGGCCCCCUGGCUCGUACCUGACGCUCAGCCACGAAAGCAUGGGGAGCGAACGGG